UACGUAGGGGGCUAGCGUUGUCCGGAAUCAUUGGGCGUAAAGCGCGCGUAGGCGGCCAGAUAAGUCCGGUGUGAAAACUCGAGGCUUAACCUCGAGACGUCGGUGGAAACCAUCCAGCUAGAGUCCGGAAGAGGAGAGUGGAAUUCCUGGUGUAGCGGUGAAAUGCGCAGAUAUCAGGAAGAACACCCGUGGCGAAAGCGGCUCUCUGGGACGGUACUGACGCUGAGACGCGAAAGCGUGGGGAGCGAACAGG
RNAcentral lists this ribosomal RNA (253 nucleotides) under uncultured bacterium. RNAcentral's name for it is "partial 16S ribosomal RNA". It matches the Rfam family "Bacterial small subunit ribosomal RNA", at positions 524 to 776 of the family's 1533-position model. The record is from RNAcentral.